Molecule: ribosomal RNA, 441 nt
Filed under: uncultured bacterium
Lineage: Bacteria
Description: partial 16S ribosomal RNA
Rfam family: Bacterial small subunit ribosomal RNA
Source: RNAcentral
CCUACGGGAGGCUGCAGUGGGGGAUAUUGCACAAUGGGGGGAACCCUGAUGCAGCGACGCCGCGUGGGUGAAGGAGUGCUUCGGCAUGUAAAGCCCUAUCGGCAGGGAAGAAGCAAGACGGUACCUGACUAAGAAGCCCCGGCUAACUACGUGCCAGCAGCCGCGGUAAUACGUAGGGGGCGAGCGUUAUCCGGAUUCACUGGGUGUAAAGGGAGCGUAGACGGCCAUGCAAGCCAGGGGUGAAAGGCCGGGGCCCAACCCCGGGACUGCCCUUGGAACUGCAUGGCGGGAGUGCGGGAGGGGCAGGCGGAAUUCCUGGUGUAGCGGUGAAAUGCGUAGAUAUCAGGAGGAACACCGGCGGCGAAGGCGGCCUGCUGGACCGCGACUGACGUUGAGGCUCGAAAGCGUGGGGAGCGAACAGGAUUAGAUACCCUGGUAGUC